RNAcentral lists this ribosomal RNA (464 nucleotides) under uncultured bacterium. RNAcentral's name for it is "partial 16S ribosomal RNA". It matches the Rfam family "Bacterial small subunit ribosomal RNA", at positions 28 to 507 of the family's 1533-position model. The record is from RNAcentral.
GACGAACGCUGGCGGCGUGCUUAACACAUGCAAGUCGAACGGAAAGGCCCUGCUUGCAGGGUACGCGCGUGGCGAACGGGUGAGUAAAACGUGGGAGAUCUGCGCUGCACUUCGGGAUAAGACUGGGAAACUGGGUCUAAUACCGGAUAGAAGCCCUUCUUAGUGUGAUGGUUGGAAAGUUUUUUCGGUGUAGGAUGAGCUGGCGGCCUAUUAGCUUGUUGGUGGGGUAAUGGCUUACUAAGGCUGCGACGGGUAGCCGGCCUGGGAGGGUGGCCGGCCAAAUUGGGACUGAGUUCCGGCCCAGCCCCGUCGGGGAGCCAGCAGUGGGGAAUUUUGCCCAAUGGCGGGAAGCUUGAUGCAGCACUCCCGGGUGCGGGAUGACGGCUUUCGGGUGGUAAACCGCUUCCCCCUGUGCCGAAGCGUGUGUGACGGUACUGGGUAAAGAAGCACCGGCUAACUACGUG